UACGUAGGGUGCAAGCGUUGUCCGGAAUUAUUGGGCGUAAAGAGCUUGUAGGCGGUCUGUCGCGUCUGCUGUGAAAAUCCGGGGCUCAACCCCGGACUUGCAGUGGGUACGGGCAGACUAGAGUGUGGUAGGGGAGACUGGAAUUCCUGGUGUAGCGGUGAAAUGCGCAGAUAUCAGGAGGAACACCGAUGGCGAAGGCAAGUCUCUGGGCCACUACUGACGCUGAGAAGCGAAAGCAUGGGGAGCGAACAGG
Molecule: ribosomal RNA, 253 nt
Filed under: uncultured bacterium
Lineage: Bacteria
Description: partial 16S ribosomal RNA
Rfam family: Bacterial small subunit ribosomal RNA
Source: RNAcentral